AACGCGAAGAACCUUACCUGGUCUUGACAUCCACGGAAGUUUUCAGAGAUGAGAAUGUGCCUUCGGGAACCGUGAGACAGGUGCUGCAUGGCUGUCGUCAGCUCGUGUUGUGAAAUGUUGGGUUAAGUCCCGCAACGAGCGCAACCCUUAUCCUUUGUUGCCAGCGAUCCGGCCGGGAACUCAAAGGAGACUGCCAGUGAUAAACUGGAGGAAGGUGGGGAUGACGUCAAGUCAUCAUGGCCCUUACGACCAGGGCUACACACGUGCUGCAAUGGCGCAUACAAAGAGAAGCGACCUCGCGAGAGCAAGCGGACCUCAUAAAGUGCGUCGUAGUUCGGAUUGGAGUCUGCAACUCGACUCCAUGAAGUCGGAAUCGCUAGUAAUCGUGGAUCAGAAUGCCACGGUGAAUACGUUCCCGGGUCUUGUACACACGC
RNAcentral lists this ribosomal RNA (434 nucleotides) under uncultured Escherichia sp. Its description in RNAcentral is "bacterial SSU rRNA". It matches the Rfam family "Bacterial small subunit ribosomal RNA", at positions 958 to 1393 of the family's 1533-position model. Lineage: Bacteria; Pseudomonadati; Pseudomonadota; Gammaproteobacteria; Enterobacterales; Enterobacteriaceae. The record is from RNAcentral.